AUUUUAAUUUUCCUUUUAAUUAUAUAUAGAAAUUUGUCUAUAUUUCUAUCCGACUUGAUUUUUGGGCAUGUACUUAGCUUUCUCAAAUUUAAGAUGCUUUUUAUUUUAAACAACACCUCAAAAACCAACUUAACAAUAUUAUUAUUAUUCGCAAAUCAAUGACACCUAAAAAUUUGACCGACUGUACUAAAUUUGCUUUUCUUUUAUUAUUUUAUUUUUAUCUUUAGGAAUGUUAUGUGGUGUGGUCAGUGGUCUAUAUAUUAAAAUAUAUCUUCUUUAAUAAUAAAGAUUAGUCUCUUUAAUUUUCUCAGUGGAAGUUAUGGGGGUGUUUAGUCUUGCUUUGUGUAAGUUUUGUCCAUAAGUUUGGCUUUUGCUCUUCUUUUGGGUUCCUAAUUACCAUUACUGUUUCAGUUAUUUUUGGUUUCUAAUGGUUUUUGGCUGGUUUUUUUCUUCAUUUUUUUUUUCUGUCAAUUCGCUCUUUUGCAUUUCUCUGUCUUCUCGGUGCUAAUGGCGGAGGAGUUGGUUCAGCAUUGGUAGAAUUUCAAGUUGACAGAGGAUGAGUUUGCAGACCUUGAUGUUGUUGAUAUUCUCGACGCUACUGUGGCAUCUGCUUCUGAUUGUUGGGUUGUGUGUAAGCUCCAACGCUUUCGUCCUCCAAAUUGGGAUGCGUUCAUUUCUGUGUUCCAUCCGGUUUGGAAGUUAUCUGAGUCUACACAGUUUCAGCGCUGGACGAGAAUAUCAUGCUCAUUAAAUUUGGUUUGCUGCGAGAUAGAAAUAGUGUCCUGGCUAGAGCUCUUUGGUCUUUUGAAAAACAUCUUUUGCUGUUUCAGGAGUAUGAUGGUAAUCUACGCUCCUUGGAUUAUCUAUUUACUGAGUUUGAUUCUAGUUUAGCGAAGUGGAGUUAGGGGUGACCUAUGCACUUUCGUGUGACUCUUUCAGUCUCUAAGCUUUUGACUCGAUCCAUAUCCUUUCGUGGUGCCAAUGGAAGACCAUUACAAGGUCUUCUAAAGUACGAACAAUUAUCUAUUUUCUCUAUGUUUGUGGGCUCCUGGGACAUACUAAGUUUGACCAUGAGUGCCCUAUUUCUACUGAUGUGCUCAGGAUGAUCAUCGAUUAUAUGGUGACAUGAUUAUUAUUUGAUAUCUUUUCGAUAUUACAUUAUCGAUGAAAAGUAAAUGUGAUUAAAGGUUGUUUAUUUUGUGAUAAA
Molecule: long non-coding RNA, 1207 nt
Organism: Gossypium raimondii (Peruvian cotton)
Lineage: Eukaryota; Viridiplantae; Streptophyta; Magnoliopsida; Malvales; Malvaceae
Exons: 2
Source: RefSeq, a predicted model, not a curated record